UGGGGAAUUUUGGACAAUGGGCGAAAGCCUGAUCCAGCAAUGCCGCGUGUGUGAAGAAGGCCUUCGGGUUGUAAAGCACUUUUGUCCGGAAAGAAAUCCUUGGCUCUAAUACAGUCGGGGGAUGACGGUACCGGAAGAAUAAGCACCGGCUAACUACGUGCCAGCAGCCGCGGUAAUACGUAGGGUGCAAGCGUUAAUCGGAAUUACUGGGCGUAAAGCGUGCGCAGGCGGUUUGCUAAGACCGAUGUGAAAAUCCCCGGGCUCAAACCUGGGAACUGCAUUGGUGACUGGCAGGCUAGAGUAUGGCAGAGGGGGGUAGAAUUCCACGUGUAGCAGUGAAAAUGCGUAGAGAUGUGGAGGAAUACCGAUGGCGAAAGGCAGCCCCCUGGGCCAAAUACUGACGCUCAUGCACGAAAAGCGUGGGGAGCAAAACAGGAUUAGAUACCCUGGUAGUCCACGCCCU
Molecule: ribosomal RNA, 463 nt
Filed under: uncultured bacterium
Lineage: Bacteria
Description: partial 16S ribosomal RNA
Rfam family: Bacterial small subunit ribosomal RNA
Source: RNAcentral